This is a long non-coding RNA of Clupea harengus (Atlantic herring), 1710 nucleotides long. RefSeq lists it as uncharacterized. The transcript is spliced from 6 exons. Lineage: Eukaryota; Metazoa; Chordata; Actinopteri; Clupeiformes; Clupeidae. The record is from RefSeq and is a predicted model, not a curated record.
GGAAUGGAUGGGCAGAUCCCUAUCAGUAGAAGUCCGUUGUGUAACCCUGCUAAGGCCAUGGUGUGAAGCUAUUUUCAGGGUACUACGGUUGCAACAAAUGUAACCAGAAGGGGGCCUGGGAUGGAAGAAUGCUCUACCCAGAGAUGGACAGUGUCACCUUGAAGACCAACCAGUCCUUCAGGGAGUGUUGGCAGCCCGAAUACCACCAUGAGAGCAUAUCUCCCUUUUGCAGCCUGCCAAUUGAUAUGGUCCAUUCUUUCCCAGCUGACUUAUGCACCAAUGCUGCCUAGGUGUCAUGGAGAAGCUGCUACUCCUGUGGACAAGAGGAAAGACUGAGGUCAGACAAACACCUGAAUUCGAUUUGCAAGAUGACACAUCUGAAGAUGAAAGAGCGGCACAUCCGCCUAUGAAGAGGUCAAGGCCUUCGGGCCUACCCAGGGCUCCCCAAUUUACUGAAAGUCCCCGGCAGCCCCUGGACAUCCAGGAACCUCAAAGUAAUAAUCGCAUUACAUCAAUGUUUUGAAAUAAAUUCUCAUUUGUGGGAAGUUAUUUUAAAUUCAGGUUGGUCAUGUAAUAUUUUUUUUGUCUUUACAGCUGUAGAAUCAGAACCCAUUGCUGGUGUAAGCACAACGCUACAACGAGAACGUAAAUGUGCAGCAGGACUAUUUAAUUAGUCUGAUAUGGGGGCAAGGUCAUGAAAAAGAAUGCCAAGUGAGGGGACGGAAAAAAAAUCUGAAAAUUUGUAAUAAUAACUACAUAUACAGUAAUAGUAGACCUACAACAACAUAUUGUAUUUUGUAAAUGCAUCACAACAACAGAAGUGCAUGAGGGCAUAGCCAAUUUCAAAUAACAAGGAUAUUGUCUGGCCUCGUGCCGAUAGCCCCACUCUCACUGUUUCAAUAAGAGAUUGAUUGUUUUAACAUACAUUUUUACACCACAUUUUAAUUAUUUCACACAGAGGUCAGUAAUAUGUUCGAUGCAUUUGAGCGGAGGAUGGUGUUUAAGCUUGAAAAGCUGCACGAGGGCUUUGAGAGGAGGAUGCUGUUGAAGCUGGAAGUGAUGCAAGAGGGCUUCAACAGCAUCCUCACCAAGGUGGUGGACCUCCUGGAGGGCCAGGGCUACAGGCCAGUGGCCAAAAAGGUAGAAGACCUUUUGGAGCGGCCACUGGAGACCCUGGAGGAGAUGGUCGAGCUAUGCCACAGACUCCAGGCAGAUAACCCAUACAAAAAAAAGAUUGCGAGAACGAUUCAUUCCACAUUUUCUUACCUGACUUCUUUCCUGAUAUGGCAUUCUCAUGACAGAUCUUUUGAUUUUUACAGAUUCAGUACUUGAGUCUGCAGGCUGGGAUGAGCAUCGGAGAUGGAGUGAGGCGAAUGAGUCGGCAGCAAUGGACUGUGGGGUCUAUUUAGUUAUAAGGGCAGAAAGGGGAAACUGGCGUUUCAGGAGCUGCAGAUCAGGCAUUAAUAAGAGCAUGUCAUAAGGCCUACCCUCAAAUUAAAGGCAGGUGCGUGGAGGACUGCAUAGCAGCCACUUUAAAACACGCUCCUCACCGUGGCCAGAUGCCCACAUGUCCGCCCGUGGACGAGGAGGAGGAAGAAUUGGAAGCGGAAGUGGAAGACGAAUUCCAAACUUGAAGAUUUUAUUGUAUUAUGAAUUGUUGAAUAAAUUAUGUUUUAUCCUGAAUAUGUCUUUCUUUUAGCUUGGAGAAAA